GGAAACAUCACAUGUGGUGGCAGAUAAGCCUGUUGAGAAGCAACCUGCUUCACGUCGCCGCAGAAAGAAAACAUCUGGUAGUGAGGAUACUGGAGUCAGCACUAGACAAAGAUCGGCUAUGAAAAAAUCUUGUUACAGCACAUCCGUUACUAUUGAUGAUGUUGGUUCUGGCAUGGUCCCAAGUGAAAAAUCAGGAAUAAUGAAGGAAAGAGAUGAUGGUUCACUUCAGAAUACUUCUAAUGAAUUACCAAAUAUUAAGUUACCAUCGCAUGAGAAGUCUGGAUAUGAUUCUCAACCAAGCACACCUAUAGCUGUCCCCAUCAAUGAAGCUACACUUCCUAGUGGUUUUAAAGAUAACCGUGCUACUCAUUCUGAAAUAACUCUUGC
This 387-nucleotide long non-coding RNA is filed under the name Setaria italica (foxtail millet). Its description in RNAcentral is "long non-coding RNA (SITA_LNC002891)". The record is from RNAcentral. Lineage: Eukaryota; Viridiplantae; Streptophyta; Magnoliopsida; Poales; Poaceae.